GUCCACGCCCUAAACGAUGGACGCUAGAUGUCGGAUUUAUUCGGUGUCGAAGCUAACGCGUUAAGCGUCCCGCCUGAGAAUUACGAUCGCAAUAUUAAAACUUAAAGGAAUUGACGGGGGCCCGCACAAGCGGUGGAGCAUGUGGUUUAAUUCGACUAUACGCGAAGAACCUUACCAGCUCUUGUAUGUUGAUUUUAGCGCCCCGGAGACGGGGGCUUUCGGUUCGGCCGGGUCUUCACAGGUGCUGCAUGGCUGUCGU
This 259-nucleotide ribosomal RNA is filed under the name uncultured bacterium. RNAcentral describes it as "partial 16S ribosomal RNA". It matches the Rfam family "Bacterial small subunit ribosomal RNA", at positions 793 to 1055 of the family's 1533-position model. The record is from RNAcentral.